UAAUUGCAUAAUUUAACGAUUUCCCUUUCAUAUUUGAUAUUGAUUAGCUCACCAAUCCAUAUGUAAUGGAACUCUAUUCGCUUUUCUGAUUGAUAUAUAAAAUAAUAGAAUUAAUCAAAUUAGGAAAUCCUCUAUUUACUAUUCACUGAAUAAUAACUUUUUUGUUGACAAAAGAAUAAAGAUCAUUUCUAUUCCAAGGUGGGGAGUUUUAUUUUCCCCACCGACCUA
Molecule: small RNA, 228 nt
Filed under: Solanum laciniatum
Lineage: Eukaryota; Viridiplantae; Streptophyta; Magnoliopsida; Solanales; Solanaceae
Description: SprA
Source: RNAcentral